GCCUUGGUAGCUCAGCCUGGCUAGAGCGUUGCCUUGGUAAGGCAAAGGUCGUGGGUCCAAAUCCCACCCAAGGCU
RNAcentral lists this transfer RNA (75 nucleotides) under Thermoproteota archaeon. RNAcentral's name for it is "tRNA-Thr". It matches the Rfam family "tRNA". Rfam says of the family: Transfer RNA (tRNA) molecules are approximately 80 nucleotides in length. Lineage: Archaea; Thermoproteati; Thermoproteota. RNAcentral also lists the same sequence under 2 other names. The record is from RNAcentral.